CACCAGACUCCUACGGGAGGCAGCAGUGGGGGAUAUUGGACAAUGGGGGGAACCCUGAUCCAGCGACGCCGCGUGAGUGAAGAAGUAUCUCGGUAUGUAAAGCUCUAUCAGCAGGGAAGAAGAUGACGGUACCUGACCAAGAAGCCCCGGCUAACUACGUGCCAGCAGCCGCGGUAAUACGUAGGGGGCAAGCGUUAUCCGGAUUUACUGGGUGUAAAGGGAGCGCAGACGGCAGUGCAAGUCUGGAGUGAAAGCCCGGGGCUCAACCCCGGAACUGCUCUGGAAACUGUGCGGCUAGAGUACUGGAGGGGCAGGCGGAAUUCCUAGUGUAGCGGUGAAAUGCGUAGAUAUUAGGAGGAACACCAGUGGCGAAGGCGGCCUGCUGGACAGUAACUGACGUUGAGGCUCGAAAGCGUGGGGAGCAAACAGGAUUAGAUACCCGCGUA
This 446-nucleotide ribosomal RNA is filed under the name uncultured bacterium. RNAcentral's name for it is "bacterial SSU rRNA". It matches the Rfam family "Bacterial small subunit ribosomal RNA", at positions 329 to 792 of the family's 1533-position model. The record is from RNAcentral.